This 706-nucleotide ribosomal RNA is filed under the name uncultured bacterium. RNAcentral's name for it is "bacterial SSU rRNA". It matches the Rfam family "Bacterial small subunit ribosomal RNA", at positions 28 to 778 of the family's 1533-position model. The record is from RNAcentral.
AACGAACGCUGGCGGCAGGCCUCAAACAUGCAAGUCUAGGGGGCGUAGCAAUACGUCACCGGCGGACGGGUGCGUAACACGUGGGAAUGUACUUACUGGUUCGGAACAACUCAGGGAAACUUGAGCUAAUACCGAAUGUGCCCGAAAGGGGAAAGAUUUAUCGCCAGUAAAUCAGCCCGCGUCCGAUUAGCUAGUUGGCGGGGUAAAGGCCCACCAAGGCGACGAUCGGUAGCUGUUCUGAGAGGAAGAUCAGCCACACUGGGACUGAGACACGGCCCAGACUCCUACGGGAGGCAGCAGUUGGGAAUCUUGGACAAUGGGGGAAACCCUGAUCCAGCCAUGCCGCGUGAGUGAUGAAGGCCUUCGGGUUGUAAAACUCUUUCGACGGGGACGAUAAUGACGGUACCCGUAGAAGAAGCUCCGGCUAACUUCGUGCCAGCAGCCGCGGUAAUACGAAGGGGGCUAGCGUUGUUCGGAAUUACUGGGCGUAAAGCGUGCGCAGGCGGUCUUCCAAGUCAGUGGUGAAAGCCCGGAGCUCAACUCCGGAACUGCCAUUGAAACUGUGAGACUCGAGUACGAGAGAGGUGAGUGGAAUUCCCAGUGUAGAGGUGAAAUUCGUAGAUAUUGGGAAGAACACCGGUGGCGAAGGCGGCUCACUGGCUCGUAACUGACGCUCAGGCACGACAGCGUGGGGAUCAAACAGGAU